UACGAACUGUGCGAACGUUAUUCGGAAUCACUGGGCUUACAGGGUGCGUAGGCGGCUUUGCAAGUCAGGUGUGAAAGCCCCCGGCUCAACCGGGGAAUUGCGCUUGAAACUGCAGGGCUCGAGUCAGCUAGAGGUACACGGAACUUCCAGUGGAGCGGUGAAAUGUGUUGAUAUUGGAAGGAACACCGGAGGCGAAAGCGGUGUACUGGGGCUGGUCUGACGCUGAGGCACGAAAGCCAGGGGAGCGAACGGG
Molecule: ribosomal RNA, 253 nt
Filed under: uncultured Planctomyces sp.
Lineage: Bacteria; Pseudomonadati; Planctomycetota; Planctomycetia; Planctomycetales; Planctomycetaceae
Description: partial 16S ribosomal RNA
Rfam family: Bacterial small subunit ribosomal RNA
Source: RNAcentral